RNAcentral lists this long non-coding RNA (709 nucleotides) under Coffea arabica (coffee). RNAcentral describes it as "long non-coding RNA (CARA_LNC004382)". The record is from RNAcentral. Lineage: Eukaryota; Viridiplantae; Streptophyta; Magnoliopsida; Gentianales; Rubiaceae.
GAGUAUUUGCAAUUGAAAAGAAUCCAGUAUACUGUAUUACGAUAUGACUAGAAACCAUGAUUAAGUUUGGAAAGGAAGAAUUAAAGAGACCAAGGUUAGCUUUUGAAAGUUAAAAGUGAAAAAGGCCUUAUUGGUGGCCUUACUAGCCUUUAUGAUAGUAAAUGAACUUUUUACCAUCCCUUAUCCUAAAAUGUGGCUUUAGAUCUAGAAUCUGAGUUAAAUGGCAGUUCAAGUAAGAGCUAUUCAGUUGUGAGUGGCUUUAGAUCUGGGAAAGGGAUAAGUUUGACGAAUUUAUCAUGUGGUUAGUAUGCUACCAUUUGCAAAUAACUAGAGGUGAGUUUUAGAUGGCAUUGUGGUCUUUAAGUUUUAUUGGAGGAUUAUUGGGGCAAAUGUUUGAAAGGAUAAAGAAAUCUAGUUGUGAGGAUAGUAGAAAAAGCCAAAGUAUGAAAUGUUUGAGAUCAUUUAGAAUACUUAAGAGCCAUUAAUAUACUCAAGUUAUGAUCAUACUAAUUGAUUGGACAUUAGACGUGGUGGACCUUCAAUCUACCCAAGAACUUGAUUAGCGUUACUAAUGGGGCAAGUGGAUUAGUAGCUGUACCUGAUCAAUUGUCGCCUUGACUAUGUUAGGGUGAGUAAGUCGUAACUUUGCCAUGUUUGCAUGUUAGAUGAACUUAAAAAGAACUUGUUUGAUUGUUUAUUUAAGUGUACU